GGAGUCGGCCAGGCAGUCGCGGCGCAUUAUUGUGCCGAGGAAAGUCCGGGCUCCGCAGGGCAGGGUGCCAGGUAACGCCUGGGAGGCGUGAGCCUACGGAAAGUGCCACAGAAAAAAUACCGCCUAAGCAUCUUCGGAUGCCGGUAAGGGUGAAAAGGUGCGGUAAGAGCGCACCGCGCGGGUGGCAACAUGCCGCGGCACGGUAAACCCCACCCGGAGCAAGACCAAAUAGGGGGGCAGGCGGCCUUGUGCCGCAGCGCGCGGCCCGCGCGUGUCCCCGGGUAGGUUGCUUGAGGCGCAUGGCGACAUGCGACCCAGAUGAAUGGCUGCCCACGACAGAACCCGGCUUAACGGCCGGCUCCCACU
RNAcentral lists this RNase P RNA (366 nucleotides) under Gammaproteobacteria bacterium. RNAcentral describes it as "RNase P RNA component class A". It matches the Rfam family "Bacterial RNase P class A". Rfam says of the family: Ribonuclease P (RNase P) is a ubiquitous endoribonuclease, found in archaea, bacteria and eukarya as well as chloroplasts and mitochondria. Its best characterised activity is the generation of mature 5'-ends of tRNAs by cleaving the 5'-leader elements of precursor-tRNAs. Cellular RNase Ps are ribonucleoproteins. Lineage: Bacteria; Pseudomonadati; Pseudomonadota; Gammaproteobacteria. The record is from RNAcentral.